This 505-nucleotide ribosomal RNA is filed under the name uncultured bacterium. RNAcentral describes it as "partial 16S ribosomal RNA". It matches the Rfam family "Bacterial small subunit ribosomal RNA", at positions 28 to 507 of the family's 1533-position model. The record is from RNAcentral.
GACGAACGCUGGCGGCGUGCCUAAUACAUGCAAGUCGAACGCACAGUUUAAACCGUAGCUUGCUACACCAUAAACUGUGAGUUGCGAACGGGUGAGUAACGCGUAGGUAACCUGCCUGGUAGCGGGGGAUAACUAUUGGAAACGAUAGCUAAUACCGCAUAAUAUUGAUUAUUGCAUGAUAAUUGAUUGAAAGAUGCUAUUGCAUCACUACCAGAUGGACCUGCGUUGUAUUAGCUAGUAGGUGAGGUAACGGCUCACCUAGGCGACGAUACAUAGCCGACCUGAGAGGGUGAUCGGCCAAACUGGGACUGAGACACGGCCCAGACUCCUACGGGAGGCAGCAGUAGGGAAUCUUCGGCAAUGGACGAAAGUCUGACCGAGCAACGCCGCGUGAGUGAAGAAGGGUUUCGGAUCGUAAAGCUCUGUUGUAAGAGAAGAACGGGUGUGAGAGUGGAAAGUUCACACUGUGACGGUAUCUGACCAGAAAGGGACGGCUAACUACGUG